RNAcentral lists this ribosomal RNA (486 nucleotides) under uncultured bacterium. RNAcentral describes it as "partial 16S ribosomal RNA". It matches the Rfam family "Bacterial small subunit ribosomal RNA", at positions 30 to 507 of the family's 1533-position model. The record is from RNAcentral.
AUUGAACGCUGGCGGCAUGCCUUACUCAUGCAAGUCGAACGGCAGCACGGGUGCUUGCACCUGGUGGCGAGUGGCUAACGGGUGAGUAAUACAUCGGAACAUGUCCUGUAGUGGGGGAUAGCCCGGCGAAAGCCGUAUUAAUACCGCAUACGAUCUACGGAUGAAAGCGGGGGACCUUCGGGCCUCGCGCUAUAGGGUUGGCCGAUGGCUGAUUAGCUAGUUGGUGGGGUAAAGGCCUACCAAGGCGACGAUCAGUAGCUGGUCUGAGAGGACGACCAGCCACACUGGGACUGAGACACGGCCCAGACUCCUACGGGAGGCAGCAGUGGGGAAUUUUGGACAAUGGGCGAAAGCCUGAUCCAGCAAUGCCGCGUGUGUGAAGAAGGCCUUCGGGUUGUAAAGCACUUUUGUCCGGAAAGAAAUCCUUGGCCCUAAUACGGUCGGGGGAUGACGGUACCGGAAGAAUAAGCACCGGCUAACUACGUG